RNAcentral lists this ribosomal RNA (404 nucleotides) under Actinomycetes bacterium. RNAcentral's name for it is "Actinobacteria bacterium partial 16S ribosomal RNA". It matches the Rfam family "Bacterial small subunit ribosomal RNA", at positions 355 to 776 of the family's 1533-position model. The record is from RNAcentral. Lineage: Bacteria; Bacillati; Actinomycetota; Actinomycetes.
UGGGGAAUAUUGGACAAUGGGCGCAAGCCUGAUCCAGCCAUGCCGCGUGAGCGAUGAAGGCCCUAGGGUUGUAAAGCUCUUUCACCGGUGAAGAUAAUGACGGUAACCGGAGAAGAAGCCCCGGCUAACUUCGUGCCAGCAGCCGCGGUAAUACGAAGGGGGCUAGCGUUGUUCGGAUUUACUGGGCGUAAAGCGCACGUAGGCGGACUAUUAAGUCAGGGGUGAAAUCCCGGGGCUCAACCCCGGAACUGCCUUUGAUACUGGUAGUCUUGAGUUCGAGAGAGGUGAGUGGAAUUCCGAGUGUAGAGGUGAAAUUCGUAGAUAUUCGGAGGAACACCAGUGGCGAAGGCGGCUCACUGGCUCGAUACUGACGCUGCGGUGCGAAAGCGUGGGGAGCAAACAGG